RNAcentral lists this transfer RNA (70 nucleotides) under Gobiobotia macrocephala. RNAcentral describes it as "tRNA-Val". The record is from RNAcentral. Lineage: Eukaryota; Metazoa; Chordata; Actinopteri; Cypriniformes; Gobionidae.
UCAGUUAAGCGCCUCACUUACACCGAGAAGACAUCCAUGCAAAUUGGAUUGCCCUGAGCCAAACAGCUAG